CUAUACUGCAGUCGAACGGAUGGAUUAUGAGCUUGCUCUUAUGAAGUUAGCAGGCGGACGGGUGAGUAACACGUGGGUAACCUGCCCCUAAAACUGGGAUAACUCCGGGAAACCGGGGCUAAUACCGGAUAACAUUUUGAACCGCGGGUUCGAAAUUGAAAGGCGGCUUCGGCUGUCACUUAUGGAUGGACCCGCGUCGCAUUAUCUAGUUGGUGAGGUAACGGCUCACCAAGGAUACCAUGCGUAUCCGACCUGAGAGGGUGAUCGGCCACACUGGGACUGAGACACGGCCCAGACUCCUACGGGAGGCAGCAGUAGGGAAUCUUCCGCAAUGGACGAAAGUCUGACGGAGCAACGCCGCGUGAGUGAUGAAGGCUUUCGGGUCGUAAAACUCUGUUGUUAGGGAAGAACACUUGCUAGUUGAAUAAGCUGGCACCUUGACAGUACCUAACCACAAAGCCACGGCUAACUACCUGCCAACUACCGCGGAAAUAAGUAUGUGGCAAACUUUAUCCGGAAUUAUUGGGCGUAAACCGCGCGCAAGUGGUUUCUUAAAUCAGAUGUGAACGCCCACGGCUCAGCCGUGGAGGGUCAUUGGAUACUGUGACACUUGAGUGCACAAAAUGAAAGUGGAAUUCCAUGUGUACCGAUGAAUUGCGUAGAGAUAUGGAGGAACACCCGUGUCUAAAGCCACUUUCUGGUCUGUAUCUGACACUGAGGCGCGAACGCGUGGGGAUCAAACACGAGUAGAUACCCUGCUAGUCCACGCCGUACACGAUGAGUGCUAAGUGUUAGAGGGUUUCCGCCCUUUACUGCUGGAUCAUCACCGCAGUAGGCACUCCCCGUGAGGGAGUACAGCUCGCAAGGCUGAAACUCAGAGCACUUGACCGGGAGCCACGCAGAAGCUGUAGUACCAUGUGAUUUAAUUCAAAUCACGCGACUAGCCUUAUCCUGUCUCGACAUCAUCUGACAAGCCCUCGUCAUAGAGGCUUCACCUAUCGGGCAGCANAGUGACACGUCGGUGCAUGCUUGUCAGUCAGCUCGGUGUCGUGCACGAUGAUCGAGU
RNAcentral lists this ribosomal RNA (1066 nucleotides) under Bacillus cereus. Its description in RNAcentral is "bacterial SSU rRNA". It matches the Rfam family "Bacterial small subunit ribosomal RNA", at positions 49 to 1081 of the family's 1533-position model. Lineage: Bacteria; Bacillati; Bacillota; Bacilli; Caryophanales; Bacillaceae. The record is from RNAcentral.